GACGGUUAAAAUCCUUCCUUUACCA
Molecule: transfer RNA, 25 nt
Filed under: Poecilia chica
Lineage: Eukaryota; Metazoa; Chordata; Actinopteri; Cyprinodontiformes; Poeciliidae
Description: partial tRNA-Met
Source: RNAcentral